RNAcentral lists this ribosomal RNA (253 nucleotides) under uncultured bacterium. RNAcentral describes it as "partial 16S ribosomal RNA". It matches the Rfam family "Bacterial small subunit ribosomal RNA", at positions 524 to 776 of the family's 1533-position model. The record is from RNAcentral.
GACAGAGGUGCCAAGCGUUAGGCGGAAUCACCGGGCUUAAAGCGUGUGUAGGCGGAUGCCUAAGUACCUUGUGAAAUCCCACGGCUCAACCGUGGAACUGCUUGGUAUACUGGGUGUCUUGAGCCAUCUAGGGGCUACCGGAACAAAUGGUGGAGCGGUGAAAUGCGUAGAUAUCAUUUGGAACGCCAAUGGUGAAAACAGGUAGCUGGGGAUGUGCUGACGCUGAGACACGAAAGCCAGGGGAGCAAACGGG